UUUCAAUUAGUAUAAAGGCUCAAGUCGGUUGGGUGGUAGUAUCAGUCAUUUGACAGAGUUCGUCAAGUAUCAAGAAAUCUUCGUCGUCGACAUGAAGUUCGCUACGUGUGUCGUUUUCGUCUUCUCUCUGGCGGUCGCCAUGGGGGCGUCCUAUUCUUCGGGGGAAUACACAAACGUCCUCGAUUGCAUCGUGGGAGCCGUUAAAGAGGCGGUGCAAUGUUUCCAAGACAAACCCAGCGCAAAAUGCGUCCUUGAUGCUAUCGACAGCAUCUCUGCGUGUCUCGGCAAAUAAUAGCGUUACUACGACCGCUGUUUGUAAUACAUAUUUACAUUAAUUCAUCCAGCUAUUGAUAUUAUACUUUGGCAGAAAAUCGUAUGUAUAAUUAAAUUAAAAUAUUAUAUGUGAGAA
Long non-coding RNA from Ostrinia nubilalis (European corn borer), 409 nucleotides. RefSeq lists it as uncharacterized. The record is from RefSeq and is a predicted model, not a curated record. The transcript has 2 exons. Lineage: Eukaryota; Metazoa; Arthropoda; Insecta; Lepidoptera; Crambidae.